This 264-nucleotide signal recognition particle RNA is filed under the name Christensenellaceae bacterium. Its description in RNAcentral is "signal recognition particle sRNA large type". It matches the Rfam family "Bacterial large signal recognition particle RNA". Rfam says of the family: The signal recognition particle (SRP) is a universally conserved ribonucleoprotein involved in the co-translational targeting of proteins to membranes. Archaeal SRP consists of a 7S RNA and homologues of the eukaryotic SRP19 and SRP54 proteins. In most bacteria, the SRP consists of a 4.5S RNA and the Ffh protein (a homologue of the eukaryotic SRP54 protein). The record is from RNAcentral. Lineage: Bacteria; Bacillati; Bacillota; Clostridia; Christensenellales; Christensenellaceae.
UAGCACUAGAUGGGGAGCUAGCGGUGCCCUGUAACCUACAAUCCGCUACAGUAGGAUUGAUCACCCGCCGAGAAUUAUCGUAUGGAAAGCCGAUUAAAUUAAGGGAUGUUGAUAUUAAGGUCUUGUGCAAUUUCAUAUUGUGAACCGUGUCAGGGCUUGACCGCAGCAGCACUAAGCAAUUAAUGGAGUGUGCCACAAGGAAGCUUUAAAGUAGUUACCUGAUUUAAUGCCGAUUCGGUGCGUUAGUCCGGAGCGGGUGUGCUU